This is an RNA transcript of Lolium rigidum, 3091 nucleotides long. RefSeq lists it as uncharacterized. The transcript has 4 exons. Lineage: Eukaryota; Viridiplantae; Streptophyta; Magnoliopsida; Poales; Poaceae. The record is from RefSeq and is a predicted model, not a curated record.
UCGCCCUCCCCUGUCCUAAAAAAAAAAACCUAUCCCCUUCUCUCCCGGCUCCUCUGCCAUGCCUCAUCCGCUUCCACCGCGCCGCCUCUUCUCCACGGCCUCCUCCUCCUCCACCAUUCACGUUGUCUUCCGAACCAUCACCACCCACCUUGAGCAGAGCAAAGGAACAUGGAGGUCAUGAAGUUGCGGAGAUUCGGCGCCGUGUGGUGGCAGGGACGGGACAUCUUCGGCCGACGUGCCUGAUUCGGGGCUGCAACGGCGGGGGUCAAGGGGCUCCACGGAGGCCACACUCUCCCGGAGGUUCGAGAUCAAGCCGGAUUUGCACGUCACUUACCUAUGUCGGUGUCGCAACCAUGGAUCAGGCUUGGUCAGCCCGUGCAAUCCCAUCAUCAUGCCCGUGCCACCUAUGGACAAGACUGAGGAGAUGGUCCGCCUCGAGCUGGAGGACAAGCGCAUCCCCUCAGCUACCAUCUGUAGAUGCAGAACCGGAACAUCGUCAGGUAUGCUGCCUCCAUCUUGUCUUCCUCUCUUUCCCGUGCUACGGCCGCUGUUGCAUCAGGUUUGGUGUAUAUUUGGUUGCUACCUAAUGGAUGGAUGGGUUGAGUGGUGUCAAAGUUGAAAAGCUGAGCACAUCACAUAUACACUUAAAGUACUUUUCAAAUGGCUCUAUUUGUUUUGGCAUUUGUACUUCUGUAGCGGUUGUAGGAAAGAGAACACCAAAUCUGGAGUACAUACAGUUGUGCUUUCUUCUGCAUUUGAACAUAGGUUUUAGUAUAGCUAAAGUUCUAUGGUUUGUAUACUGUAUGCGAUCCCUACAAAUUGUUCAGAAAUGCAAGUGCCGUCUUGGAACAGAGCAGGUAUGGUAUGAAUAGGAAAAUGUUUUUGUUUUAUUUGAUAAUGCAUCAUAUUUCUAUUUCCUAAUUGAUAGGCCAAAGCUUUAGUUCUAAUGUUCUUUAUUGUUUCGCCAGUACCAAUUGAACUCUUCUAAGAUCGUGUGAUAAACUUUUAGUGGCACAUGUAUCACACUCAGGUGAUCAUUUGUUCAGGCACAUGCAUCGGGUUGUUUGAUAGAGGAACUGAAGUGCAAGGGACAGUAGUAUUACUAUGCACUUUUCAAUUCUUAGUUUGAUAUGGCUCGUACUUUGGUUUGUCAAUUUUGUAGAGCAUAUGACAGGGCUGAUGUUCGCUUCAGUGCAAUAGAAGAUGUUAUUUAUUCUGACUCUACUUUGCUUCCUAUACAUAUAUUUUACCUACAACUGAAACAAAGGUUCUCUUAUAAAACCUCUCUGGGUCAUUGUCAAUUCUAAAGAUUUGCUUCUAUUGUUUCUGAGGCAAGUGGUUCAGAAGUUCACAAGGUUGGAAUAUGUAGCUAUGCUCGAAUUUUCUCGAGAAGGUCUUAAGCCUAAUCUCUCGUCCACUACUACAAUCGUACGCCUCCACUUGAUGCGUUGCUCUGAUUCAAACCUCUGCUUGGGUGCUCUGAGGUGAGGCCUUCAAGCACCUCAUCUGGCGUUGUGAUGCAAGGAUACUAAUGUGAUAAUUUCAUGUAUUGCCUAAUACUGCAAGUAUCUACCGGUGGUUUCAUAUUCAUGAUUCUUUCUUUUAAUAAUUUUGUAAAUUCUUAUGCUACGCAUUUCCCCAUGUCAAUCCUGAUGAUUUCUCGUACUAAAAACAAUUUGUAUUUAUUAUUUGUUCCUAUCUGUUCUUCCUUUUACUAAUAGAAGCUAAUGAGAUCAUUAUCAUAUGAAGUUAGACUGUAAGAUCCUAAGUCAAUUUACUUGGAUGCCCAUUCUAUUUUAUUAUCUUGGUCAGUGCAUUGUAUUUAUCGGAAUAUUGCAACUACACUAUAUAUCUUCCUUGCAUGUUCUUCCUUUGACUAUUAGAAGUUAAAUUGAGUUGUGGAUCAAACGAGAUCAUAUUACGAAGUAAGAGAUCAUCUUAUCAAGUAAAGACUGUAAGACCCUAGCUUCUAGCUUUGGUUGGACACGGAUCAGUUUUGUCCCUCUUUACUGCGAACAAAUAUUGCACUGUUUGUUUAACAAUAUUAUGUGUUUGUGCUCUCAUAUUCCUCUUUUUCAGGCCGGUUCUUGUCUCACCAUCUCGCGUGCUUUGCUCAUGUGCUCAUCUCUUCGUGUUAAGGUUUGCUUGUUUCUUUCUCUCCACAUGGUGUAUUUUUUGUUGCACUUGGUUUACUGAUCGUUGUUGCGUGGCGUGUUCGGUUCUUCUAUUUCUUAUUGUUUUAUGAUGCUCGAUGGCAUGCGCACUGUUAUUUCCUUUGUUAUCUAUUUACUUUAUCUAGAUGCUCCUAGAGAAUACUUUGUUCCUAUUCUAUAUAGUAAAUGGAAACACUUUAGUUAUAUCCUAGAACAUGGCAUGGUUAAUUGGUACUUGUACUACGUAAUGGAUGCUUUUUUUACCUUGUGGGGGAUAUGAGAGAGUUUUUCGUCCUACUCCAUUAACUUCAUAUAUACAAUACUACCCUUUCAAGAUUUUAAUGAGUACGUACUGUAAUACAACUCAAUCUUGCUAAUUCCACUUUGAGAUGAACCUGCAUUUCGUCUCUUCGGAUGGUAAAAUAUCACCAAUAGAUCAUCAAAAUGAAUUUGGGAGUUUCAUUCAUGUAACCUAACCUUGGCACACAAAUUUAGCUCUUCAGGUUGGUAGAGAACCUAAUUUUUUACAGUAAUGGCAAUAAUCAAUGCAUCUCUAUUCAUAUAGUCUCCCCAUUUUUGAAGCACACUAAUUUGUUUGACGUGAAAUGUAAACUGAACUUUAUGCACCCCUUUAUGAAUAGCUGGAGCUAUAAUCAUUCUCAUUUUGACUCAACUUGAGUACAGGGUUGAUCGCCCACCAUCCAGUGUGAGAUUAGAGGCAAUGCAACAAGCUGAAGUUAUCUAUUGCAGAAAAGAUGAGUAGUUCGUGGCAUGUUUCCCAAAGGGAGCCAUAAGAGCAAUGAGUAGAUUUCCGUCUUGUACUAACUUGUAUAUGUAGUGAUUUAGCAAAGAUAGAUGAUCCUACUACUAUACAAUUAAGCAUUGACAAGUUAAACUCGAGGUUUUUUUAUAUUUUAUUUUCUUGUAUCAACCCUGAA